ACGUUAGCGGCGGACGGGUGAGUAACACGUGGGUAACCUACCUAUAAGACUGGGAUAACUUCGGGAAACCGGAGCUAAUACCGGAUAAUAUUCGAACCGCAUGGUUCGAUAGUGAAAGAUGGUUUUGCUAUCACUUAUAGAUGGACCCGCGCCGUAUUAGCUAGUUGGUAAGGUAACGGCUUACCAAGGCGACGAUACGUAGCCGACCUGAGAGGGUGAUCGGCCACACUGGAACUGAGACACGGUCCAGACUCCUACGGGAGGCAGCAGCA
RNAcentral lists this ribosomal RNA (272 nucleotides) under uncultured Staphylococcus sp. RNAcentral's name for it is "partial 16S ribosomal RNA". It matches the Rfam family "Bacterial small subunit ribosomal RNA", at positions 89 to 355 of the family's 1533-position model. The record is from RNAcentral. Lineage: Bacteria; Bacillati; Bacillota; Bacilli; Caryophanales; Staphylococcaceae.